Molecule: non-coding RNA, 28 nt
Filed under: Mus musculus (house mouse)
Lineage: Eukaryota; Metazoa; Chordata; Mammalia; Rodentia; Muridae
Source: RNAcentral
UGGGAGUUCAUUAAGAGCAGGAAGCAGU